UAAGGAAUAUUGGUCAAUGGACGCAAGUCUGAACCAGCCAUGCCGCGUGCAGGAAGAAGGCCCUAUGGGUUGUAAACUGCUUUUGCCAGGGGCUAAAAGGCCCAUGCGUGGGAAAUUGAAAGUACCUGGUGAAUAAGCCACGGCUAACUACGUGCCAGCAGCCGCGGUAAUACGUAGGUGGCAAGCGUUGUCCGGAUUUAUUGGGUUUAAAGGGUGCGUAGGCGGCCUUAUAAGUCAGUGCUGAAAUAUCCCGGCUUAACCGGGAGGGUGGCAUUGAUACUGCAAGGCUUGAGUGUAGUCGAGGUAGGCGGAAUUGACGGUGUAGCGGUGAAAUGCUUAGAUAUCGUCAAGAACACCGAUAGUGUAGACAGCUUACUAGGCUACAACUGACGCUGAGGCACGAAAGUGUGGGGAUCAAAC
This 420-nucleotide ribosomal RNA is filed under the name uncultured bacterium. Its description in RNAcentral is "bacterial SSU rRNA". It matches the Rfam family "Bacterial small subunit ribosomal RNA", at positions 355 to 773 of the family's 1533-position model. The record is from RNAcentral.